RNAcentral lists this ribosomal RNA (201 nucleotides) under uncultured bacterium. Its description in RNAcentral is "partial 16S ribosomal RNA". It matches the Rfam family "Bacterial small subunit ribosomal RNA", at positions 1300 to 1500 of the family's 1533-position model. The record is from RNAcentral.
GUAGUCUGCAACUCGACUACAUGAAGCCGGAAUCGCUAGUAAUCGCGGAUCAGAAUGCCGCGGUGAAUACGUUCCCGGGUCUUGUACACACCGCCCGUCACACCAUGGGAGCCGGAAAUGCCCGAAGUCAGUGACCCAACCGCGAGGAGGGAGCUGCCGAAGGCAGGUCUGGUAACUGGGGUGAAGUCGUAACAAGGUACC